GAAUUUUUAUCAAAAAGUUGAACUGGUGAUUCAAUUAUCGCUCACAUUUAGCUCGACAAUUCGUUAAUUGAGUAUACCCCUUUUGGGAUUUCAAGGAAGCAUGAAGAGUGGCAAAAGAGAUGGAUAUCCUGGGUCAGGCAUUAAGCCAUAUAGCUUGGUUCAUCAAACUCUAUGCAUCACGGAUAUUUCCUUUGAAACUAAAUGCUUAAUUGGAUAUGUGGAAAUGACAAUUCAGCCUCAUAUACCCAAUCUAAAGUCAUUUAAGUUAAAUUGCAAACAGUGUGUUUUAUAUAGUAUGUUGAUAAAUCAAAGGUGGGAUGCAACUUUUAGCUAUCACGAUCCAACUUUAGAAAUUUGUAAGAGAGAUUUUAAACAGCGUAAUUUAGACAAUUAUAAAAAUGCUCAUGCAAAUGCUUCCCAUUCGGUGGAUUCUACUUUGGGUAAUGGGGAAGUAACGGUUCAAAUACCUUCAGAUGCAUAUAGUGCAGGGAUGAUAAACGAAAUGAUGCCCUUCACUGUAACUAUUGAAUUUUCCCUGGAAGAACCAAGAGGAGGUAUGAGAUUUGUUGUUUCAAAUAUAGAUGGAACUCUUGUUGAACGAGGAGCCCAUCUAUAUACAUAUGGUAGAGAAAACUCUUCAAGGUUGUGGUUUCCUUGUAUGGAUUCGUUUAGUGAACUAUGUACUUGGAAAUUAGAAAUAACUGUUGAUAUGUACAUGAUAGCUAUUAGUAGUGGAGAUCUCAUUGAGACCGUUUAUACAAGUGAUUUACGACAAAAGACAUACCACUAUUACUUGAGUGUUCCAACUUCGGCUCCCAACAUUGCGUUGGCAGUUGGACCAUUUGAAUUUAUUGUGGAUGAGACCAUGCCGGAAGUAACACAUUUUUGUCUGCCAUCCUUGAAACCUCUAUUACACAAUUCCACAUCUAAACUAACAGAAAUAUUUGAAUGCUUUGAAGAUUUUUUAUCGUCUAGAUAUCCUUUUUCUUCUUAUAAACAAGUGUUCGUAGAUGAAGCCUAUGAUGAAUUCCAAAGUUUCAGCACUAUGUCCAUUUUUAGUCACGCUCUUUUACAUCCCCCUACAAUAAUUGAUCAAGUGCCUAUUAUGAGAAAUGCCAUGGCUAACGCUCUAGCAAAGCAGUUUUUUGGAUGUUUUAUCGUUCAACAAUCUUGGAAUGAUGCUUGGUUAACGAAGGGCAUUUCUGCCUUCCUGGCUGGCUUAUACUUUAGAAAGACAUUUGGUAAUAAUGAGUAUAAGCAUAUGGUUUUCGAGAAAUUACAAGCCAUUCAGAAUUAUGAAUUCAAAGUUGGAGGGAUUGUGUUGGAUCCGGCUGCCGUGCUUUCCCGAAAUAUGGAUUUGCAUUUUUCAACUGCAUAUGCUCAGACAACAUCUGAUGCCUAUUUAAAAGCUUAUGAAAAAAAAGCGUUUUUAGUUAUGCGUUUAUUAGAAUCUAGAUUGGGACCAGGAAUAUUUCUUCAGAGUUUAAAUAAACUGCUAUCUCUUGCAAUGACAGCGUCAAAUCAGAAAUAUCUAAAUUUUGUAUGGACCCCUAUGUUGCUGAGUACUGAUUCGUUUCUCAGAGGAAUAGCAACUGUAAGUGGAAAGGAUGUAAACACGUUUUUAGAUUUGUGGGUGAGACAGCCUGGAUUGCCAAAGUUUCACGGAAAUUUUGUUUUCAAUAGAAAGAGAAAUAUUGUUGAAUUAGAAAUUCGACAAGAUGUUCUAAACAAAGGAACUAUGAAAUAUAUGGGUCCAAUUACAGUCGCCAUACAGGAAUUAGAUGGAACUUUUAGGCAUACAUUUAAUAUAGAGGAAAAUAAACGUACUUUUGAAAUAACUUGUCACUCUAAAAGUAGAAGAAACAAAAAGAAAAAAAUUCCCUUGUCAACAAUGGAAGAAGUUGAUAUGGACUUGGGAGCAAUGGAUGCUGAUUCUCCUGUACUUUGGUUGAGAAUUGAUCCUGAACUUGAUUUAUUACGUUUUGUGGAUUUGGAACAGCCAGAUUACAUGUGGCAGUAUAUGUUGCGACAUGAAAGAUGUAUUAUAGCGCAAGAAUGUGCGAUAUCUUCCUUGGAAUCAUUUUCUACACCUCAGACUCGAUUAUGCUUGACGGAUUGUGUUGAAAAUGAUAAAGUUUAUUAUAGAGUCCGUAUGCAAGCAGCCUAUUGUCUUGUUAGGGUAGCUAAUCAGCUAGCUGCUAGUUGGUCUGGUCCACCUGCUAUGCUUGCUAUUUUUCAUAAACUCUUUGGUUCAUAUUCAUCUCCGAAUAUAGUCAGACGGAACGAUUUUAGUAAUUUCCAGCAAUAUUUCUUACAAAAGACUAUACCAGUUGCAAUGGCCUCCUCAAGGACGCUAAAUAAUAAUUGCCCUAGUGAUGUUAUGAAGUUUCUUCUAGAUUUAUUCAAGUAUAAUGAUAAUGCAAAGAACAAGUAUUCAGAUAACUAUUAUCGGGCUGCUCUUAUUGACGCCUUAGCAGCAACAAUAACCCCUGCUAUUACAACUGUGACGCUGAAUGGUAUGAGUGGACGACCUAGUACUGAACUAGUAUCGGACGAUGCUAAGAGGAUAUUGGAGGAAAUUGUAAGAUAUUUAAAUUUAGAGAAGCUUUUACCCUGCUACCACCGUGUAGUUACUGUUAGUUGCUUAAGAGCGUUAAGAAUUCUACAAAAAUUUGGACAUAUACCUAGCUCAGCAAAUAUUUUUAAAUCCUACGCGGUCAAAGGAAAUUUUAUCAAUGUAAGAUUGGCCGCGUUAGAAGCUCUAGUAGAUUUUAUGACUGCUGAAAGUAAUGUUGAGACUUUUGAAUGGCUUAUUGAUCUAAUUGAUAGGGACGAUGAACCUUACAUUACUCAUAGAUUAGCGGAAAUUCUUAUCGAAAAGCCACCGUUUACCAAAGAUAUCGAAUCAUGCCCGUUAUCUUCCGAAGAGAUAGUUGAUAAACUUUGGAAUAUGAUGAAUUGUAAGUUUCAUUACGAUUCAAGACUGAGAUGCGAUGUCGUUGAUUUAUAUCACAAACUGUUCGGUAGAAGGAGACCUGCUUGCCUGCCGAUGUCUGAUAGUACGAUGGUAAUUAAUUUAAAGGAAAGCAAAUUAGCAAGAACAGGCUUACCAGAUACAUCUCAGGAUAGGAUUAGGCUUUUACAAAAAAAAUCGGUAAUAAAGAAUUUCGAUUUCCUCUUUAAAAAAUAACCACAAUAUUAUUUUUUUUAACUAUAAAUAGCGUAAUAAAAUUUUUUCGUUUAGGCUGAUGAUUUAGACUAUCAGGACCCAUUCGCUCUUGCAAGAACUCAUUCCGACAUCACUGCAACAAAUGAUAGUAAUUCAAAUCAAGGGUUAAAGAGAAAGUCCGACGAUCUGCCCUCGUUUGAUGACGAUUCUAGUAUGCCUAAGGUACGAAUUAAGGUAAUAAAACAAUUAUUUGUUAAUUCUAGAUAUUAUCUAAUUAUUUUGACAAAAUAAUUUUGUACAAGCAAAGAGAGAACGAUAAAUUAUUUUUAUCUACUUGAUAGAUAGAUUUGCUAUACAACUUUGAUUCUUUCCUCGUAUAAGUUAAAUUAUUUCUUGAUAUUUAUAUACUAUUAAAUAAUCCGUUGUUUUUUUACUUUUGUUAGCGGUUUCCCGAUGAUAAGUUGUCUCUAGAUACAUCUUUACCGAUAGAAGAAACUGUUGUAACAACCGAUGCUGAACCAAUUCCUCCUCCUAUUGAGGGAAUUUCAAUUGCAGCCUUGGUCGACACAGCUUCAAGAGGUCCAAAUCUUAGCGAAGAUUCAAAUUCCGAUGAAAGUCCCAGUAUGUUUUUUCAAAUCUUUUUUAUGUUUUAAAUAAACAAAAAAAAAUUCUUUUUUUGGUUUUCGAAAUUUAUAUAUGUACAUGUAUAUAUACAUAUAUAUUUAUACUUUACAUGCUUAUAUUUUAAACAGCCAAAGUAGACGGCCCUACUUCAUUUACACCGUCCAUGUUCACUCCAUUAGCUGAUAAUCCGUCUGCCGAAAGUUCAUCUCAUAAGCAUCACAAAGAUAAAAAGAAGAAAAAGAAGAAAAAGAAUAAGCAUAAACAUAAACAUAAACAUGCUAAAGAAGAAGGAAGGAGUGAUUCAUUAAGUUAAACUUAGAUACUAAAUCUCCUGAUGUAUUAUUUUAAAUAUUUUCAUUGUUUUUUUAAUACAUGGGCGUCAG
This 4176-nucleotide unclassified non-coding RNA is filed under the name Dimorphilus gyrociliatus. Its description in RNAcentral is "transcription initiation factor TFIID 150 kDa subunit". Lineage: Eukaryota; Metazoa; Annelida; Polychaeta; Dinophilidae. The record is from RNAcentral.